This 305-nucleotide ribosomal RNA is filed under the name uncultured bacterium. RNAcentral describes it as "partial 16S ribosomal RNA". It matches the Rfam family "Bacterial small subunit ribosomal RNA", at positions 505 to 807 of the family's 1533-position model. The record is from RNAcentral.
ACAGCAGCAGCCACGGUAAUACGUAGGUGGCAAGCGUUGUCCGGAAUUAUUGGGCGUAAAGGGCUCGCAGGCGGUUUCUUAAGUCUGAUGUGAAAGCCCCCGGCUCAACCGGGGAGGGUCAUUGGAAACUGGGAAACUUGAGUGCAGAAGAGGAGAGUGGAAUUCCACGUGUAGCGGUGAAAUGCGUAGAGAUGUGGAGGAACACCAGUGGCGAAGGCGACUCUCUGGUCUGUAACUGACGCUGAGGAGCGAAAGCGUGGGGAGCGAACAGGAUUAGAUACCCGCGUAGUCCCUGUCUCUUAUAC